GGAUCGAUGGCGUAGUUGAUUAUCACGCUUGUCUAAUAUGUCAAGGUACACAGGUGGUCUUCAGUUCGAGUCUAGGUUGGUUCA
Non-coding RNA from Neolentinus lepideus HHB14362 ss-1, 84 nucleotides. The record is from the annotation of a GenBank genome assembly. NCBI's taxonomy places the organism in Eukaryota, Fungi, Basidiomycota, Agaricomycetes, Gloeophyllales, Gloeophyllaceae.